ACGUAGGGUGCAAGCGUUAAUCGGAAUUACUGGGCGUAAAGCGUGCGCAGGCGGAUAUGUAAGUUAGAAGUGAAAUCCCCGGGCUCAACCUGGGAACUGCUUUUAAGACUGCGUAUCUAGAGUUUGUCAGAGGGGGGUGGAAUUCCAAGUGUAGCAGUGAAAUGCGUAGAGAUUUGGAGGAACACCGAUGGCGAAGGCAGCCCCCUGGGAUAAAACUGACGCUCAUGCACGAAAGCGUGGGUAGCAAACAGG
Molecule: ribosomal RNA, 252 nt
Filed under: uncultured bacterium
Lineage: Bacteria
Description: partial 16S ribosomal RNA
Rfam family: Bacterial small subunit ribosomal RNA
Source: RNAcentral